This is a long non-coding RNA of Oncorhynchus keta (chum salmon), 2102 nucleotides long. RefSeq lists it as uncharacterized. The transcript is spliced from 5 exons. Lineage: Eukaryota; Metazoa; Chordata; Actinopteri; Salmoniformes; Salmonidae. The record is from RefSeq and is a predicted model, not a curated record.
AAUGCAGAUCAUGUUUGGAUGGAGGUAGUCAUCAUUCACUGUUUAUGUAACUGCAGAUCGUGUUUGGAUGGAGGUAGUCAUCAUUCACUGUUUAUGUAACUGGAAUGCAGAUCAUGUUUGGAUGGAGGUAGUCAUCAUUCACUGUUUAUGUAACUGGAAUGCAGAUCAUGUUUGGAUGGAGGUAGUCAUCAUUCACUGUUUAUGUAACUGGAAUGCAGAUCAUGUUUGGAUGGAGGUAGUCAUCAUUCACUGUUUAUGUAACUGCAGAUCCUGUUUGGAUGGAGGUAGUCAUCAUUCACUGUUUAUGUAACUGCAGAUCGUGUUUGGAUGGAGGUAGUCAUCAUUCACUGUUUAUGUAACUGCAGAUCCUGUUUGGAUGGAGGUAGUCAUCAUUCACUGUUUAUGUAACUGGAAUGCAGAUCAUGUUUGGAUGGAGGUAGUCAUCAUUCACUGUUUAUGUAACUGGAAUGCAGAUCAUGUUUGGAUGGAGGUAGUCAUCAUUCACUGUUUAUGUAACUGGAAUGCAGAUCAUGUUUGGAUGGAGGUAGUCAUCAUUCACUGUUUAUGUAACUGCAGAUCCUGUUUGGAUGGAGGUAGUCAUCAUUCACUGUUUAUGUAACUGCAGAUCGUGUUUGGAUGGAGGUAGUCAUCAUUCACUGUUUAUGUAACUGCAGAUCCUGUUUGGAUGGAGGUAGUCAUCAUUCACUGUUUAUGUAACUGGAAUGCAGAUCAUGUUUGGAUGGAGGUAGUCAUCAUUCACUGUUUAUGUAACUGGAAUGCAGAUCGUGUUUGGAUGGAGGUAGUCAUCAUUCACUGUUUAUGUAACUGGAAUGCAGAUCGUGUUUGGAUGGAGGUAGUCAUCAUUCACUGUUUAUGUAACUGGAAUGCAGAUCGUGUUUGGAUGGAGGUAGUCAUCAUUCACUGUUUAUGUAACUGGAAUGCAGAUCGUGUUUGGAUGGAGGUAGUCAUCAUUCACUGUUUAUGUAACUGCAGAUCGUGUUUGGAUGGAGGUAGUCAUCAUUCACUGUUUAUGUAACUGCAGAUCGUGUUUGGAUGGAGGUAGUCAUCAUUCACUGUUUAUGUAACUGCAGAUCCUGUUUGGAUGGAGGUAGUCAUCAUUCACUGUUUAUGUAACUGGAAUGCAGAUCAUGUUUGGAUGGAGGUAGUCAUCAUUCACUGUUUAUGUAACUGGAAUGCAGAUCGUGUUUGGAUGGAGGUAGUCAUCAUUCACUGUUUAUGUAACUGGAAUGCAGAUCGUGUUUGGAUGGAGGUAGUCAUCAUUCACUGUUUAUGUAACUGGAAUGCAGAUCCUGUUUGGAUGGAGGUAGUCAUGAUUCACUGUUUAUGUAACUGGAAUGCAGAUCGUGUUUGGAUGGAGGUAGUCAUCAUUCACUGUUUAUGUAACUGGAAUGCAGAUCGUGUUUGGAUGGAGGUAGUCAUCAUUCACUGUUUAUGUAACUGCAGAUCGUGUUUGGAUGGAGGUAGUCAUCAUUCACUGUUUAUGUAACUGCAGAUCCUGUUUGGAUGGAGGUAGUCAUCAUUCACUGUUUAUGUAACUGGAAUGCAGAUCGUGUUUGGAUGGAGGUAGUCAUCAUUCACUGUUUAUGUAACUGCAGAUUGUGUUUGGAUGGAGGUAGUCAUCAUUCACUGUUUAUGUAACUGGAAUGCAGAUCCUGUUUGGAUGGAGGUAGUCAUCAUUCACUGUUUAUGUAACUGGAAUGCAGAUCGUGUUUGGAUGGAGGUAGUCAUCAUUCACUGUUUAUGUAACUGCAGAUUGUGUUUGGAUGGAGGUAGUCAUCAUUCACUGUUUAUGUAACUGCAGAUUGUGUUUGGAUGGAGGUAGUCAUCAUUCACUGUUUAUGUAACUGGAAUGCAGAUUGUGUUUGGAUGGAGGUAGUCAUCAUUCACUGUUUAUGUAACUGCAGAUCGUGUUUGGAUGGAGGUAGUCAUCAUUCACUGUUUAUGUAACUGGAAUGCAGAUCAUGUUUGGAUGGAGGUAGUCAUCAUUCACUGUUUAUGUAACUGGAAUGCAGAUCGUGUUUGGAUGGAGGUAGUCAUCAUUCACUGUUUAUGUAACUGGAAUGCAGAUCCUGUUUGGAUGG